This 652-nucleotide ribosomal RNA is filed under the name Glomeromycotina sp. AB-2014. Its description in RNAcentral is "SSU rRNA". It matches the Rfam family "Eukaryotic small subunit ribosomal RNA", at positions 359 to 1016 of the family's 1831-position model. Lineage: Eukaryota; Fungi; Glomeromycota. The record is from RNAcentral.
GUAACGGGGUGUUAGGGCACGACACCGGAGAGGGAGCCUGAGAAACGGCUACCACAUCCAAGGAUGGCAGCAGGCGCGCAAAUUACCCAAUCCCGACACGGGGAGGUAGUGACAAUAAAUAACAAUACGGGGUUCUUUCGGAUUUCGUAAUUGGAAUGAGUACAAUUUAAAUCUCUUAACGAGGAACAAUUGGAGGGCAAGUCUGGUGCCAGCAGCCGCGGUAAUUCCAGCUCCAAUAGCGUAUAUUAAAGUUGCUGCAGUUAAAAAGCUCGUAGUUGAAUUUCGGGACCAUCAUGUCGGUCGUGCCUCGGUACGUACUGGCAUUGUUGGUUUCUCCCUUCUGACGAACCAUGAUGUCAUUUAUUUGGUGUUGUGGGGAAUCAGGACUGUUACUUUGAAAAAAUUAGAGUGUUUAAAGCAGGCUCACGCUUGAAUACAUUAGCAUGGAAUAAUGAAAUAGGACGUUUGAUUCUAUUUUGUUGGUUUCUAGGAUCGACGUAAUGAUUAAUAGGGAUAGUUGGGGGCAUUAGUAUUCAAUUGUCAGAGGUGAAAUUCUUGGAUUUAUUGAAGACUAACUACUGCGAAAGCAUUUGCCAAGGAUGUUUUCAUUAAUCAAGAACGAAAGUUAGGGGAUCGAAGACGAUCAGAUACC